Molecule: long non-coding RNA, 1401 nt
Organism: Daphnia carinata
Lineage: Eukaryota; Metazoa; Arthropoda; Branchiopoda; Diplostraca; Daphniidae
Exons: 5
Source: RefSeq, a predicted model, not a curated record
UGAUGGACCGCAAGGUUGUCACGUCGCACCAUUAAAAAGGUCAACUUCCGCACUAUUUAAAAAUCCCGUUGUACAACUAAAUUUUGUGUUUUUAAAUUUUUGAAUUUUUAUUUCCGCAUAGGAUAUAACCUUCGCACCUGAUGGAUUUGUAAAAAUCCGGCUUCACAAUGAAAAUCACGUUAAAACGCACUUUGCGAAUUCACGGUGCACGUCGAAAUAGGAGAGCGACUGUUCCUUUUGAACACCGCGCAUCAACUACUGGAUGUUCCCCUCAUUUCGUCAUUUGACUACUGGGUUUCCUCCUCCCCUUCCAGGAGGAUGGAAUUGGUUUUGCCAUAGAAGAAAAAAAGAAAAAGAAUUCUGUUGAAAUCAACCUUUUCCGUGGGAACCUGUCAUCCGAAUACAGCCUAGAAACCCAGUGUGGCGCAAGCAUAAUUCAUCCGCUGAACCGUGUGCCUCAAUCAUGUUGCCGUCGCGCUAUGAUUGAAUAUUCAUCAAGUGUGACGGACAACAACAAUCGUUGUUUUUAAUAUGUGCGCGUCACGAAAGAAAAUGCUGAAAGAGCAGGAGUAGGUGGGAGAAGAGUAGCUGUGCGUGUAACUAUGUACACACAUCCAUUAUGAUCUGAACAACUGAGGACCAUUUAUCUCGGCUCCAUUUAACUUUGCGUGGCUGCUUGCGCAAUGGAAAGAAAAACCCUGCGUGACGCGUGUAAGCUGUUUCUUCCCGUCAGAAUUGCGUGGACUAAAAAUAGGAAAGAAACAAAACCGGACUCGCUCCAUCAACACGGAUGGCUUCAUUCCCACUGCCACCCAGGGUUUAGAGGAGGAGUUUGUAAUCACCUGGUAGUUAAUAGGAUCACUGCCGGUCAUUUCGUGUCUCGCAUGGGAAAUUGACGCGUCCCAACCGGAUCCAGCCGCUAUGUUGAUGCACCGACGGUAGCACUCUUUCCGGCUUUGGUUCUAUAGAUACAAACUCUUCGUGAUAACGGCAUUGUUUGAACGACCGAGAUUUCCCAAUUCACUUUGUCUCGGGUAAUUUGCUUUUAGCUUUUCCAACACAUCUCAUCCUUAUCACUUUAAAGUUUAAAGAGAAUCAUGUUUCAGGGGCUGUGUCUUCAUGAAUCCCGAGCUAUUCUAUCUGAGUAGCUAUUUCAGCGGAUCAAUCGACAGUGUUUUUUAUCGAUUUCAUGCGGUUUGUGAAGCCUCGCCCGAAUGGGGUUAUUGAAGAAGAUUUUCUGUCAAACUGCAGUCUGUUUUGUAAUAGUAAUUAACGUGGAAGUUCAGACCAUAUAGUGUCAACACCGCAUACCGUAACAGCUGGAAUUUGUGAGGAAACAAAGGUAAAGUUUUACGACAUUGUAAUUGAUGUCUGUACAGUUGCAUUAGUAUGUUCUACGUG